Non-coding RNA from Acanthosepion pharaonis, 113 nucleotides. NCBI's taxonomy places the organism in Eukaryota, Metazoa, Mollusca, Cephalopoda, Sepiida, Sepiidae. The record is from the annotation of a GenBank genome assembly.
UUGCGACCGAAUCACGUUCAAACACCGGAUCUCGUACGAUCACCGAAGUUAAGCAACAUUGAGCUUGGUCAGUACCUAGAUGGGUUACCGCUUAGGUAUGCCAGGUGUUGUUA